UGAACCAUCUCUACCACCUGGUGUAGAGACAGAUCAACUUUAUUUGAUGGAAAAUCAGUCCCAGGAUGAUGAGGCUGACAAAUUCCAGUGCUGGUUGCUAUUGGCGUGGUGCCCAUGAUGUGCUGGAAAGUGUUCACCUGCCACAUCCAUCAUCAACAGAGGCCCAGGAAUGUGGCCUGUUGGGUAAGCUGGGCCAAAGGUGAGGCAGACCCAGAAAGCACAGGACAAGCAGAGAUGGAAAUCCCUGACGAUCUCCAGGAUGGGCACCAGCGCUAGACCCUGCAGACUAGAGCUCUGGGAUUCACCUGAGACUCCAGAUGCCUUGGUUUCCAUACCUGUCCAGAGGGGGAGGAAUCAAAG
Physeter macrocephalus (sperm whale) is the source of this 360-nucleotide long non-coding RNA. RefSeq lists it as uncharacterized. The transcript has 3 exons. Lineage: Eukaryota; Metazoa; Chordata; Mammalia; Artiodactyla; Physeteridae. The record is from RefSeq and is a predicted model, not a curated record.